Cyprinus carpio carpio is the source of this 314-nucleotide long non-coding RNA. The record is from Ensembl. NCBI's taxonomy places the organism in Eukaryota, Metazoa, Chordata, Actinopteri, Cypriniformes, Cyprinidae.
GGACACACGAGCAGAGAGUGAGGGAUGAGGUAUGAAGAAAAAAGAAUGGAUAGUGGCAGCUGGCAAGUGAUACGCCUAAAGCCCAGGAUUUAACAAUAAUCCACUCGGACAUCCAAUAACUCUACUGUGUUGCUAGAGGCCACGGUGUGGCGUCAGUCAUGGAUAGGUCAGUAUGGUCUAAGCCAGCUGAAAUUGACUCUGUCUCUCAAAUCUGUAAACACAUUUCACUGAAGUCAUCUACAGCCCGAGGAACCGACUGAAGCCUCUUAACACACACUCACACUCUCACAAUCUGGUUUGGUUACACAAGAAAU